This 304-nucleotide long non-coding RNA is filed under the name Carica papaya (papaya). RNAcentral's name for it is "long non-coding RNA (CPAP_LNC009258)". Lineage: Eukaryota; Viridiplantae; Streptophyta; Magnoliopsida; Brassicales; Caricaceae. The record is from RNAcentral.
UGGUCGGUCCCCGUGAUCCCUGCUGCAGUGCUGACAGAUCUUACCACGUGCUGCCCCUAGAGCCUGAGGGGGAGCCUGGAUUGCCGGUUUGGGCCUCUUAUUUUAUUGGACAGGCGCAGUAGGUGCUGGUCUACAGGGUGGAGCUGAGGGUCUGUGACUCCCUGAUGACUGGGAAAGGGUGUUGAAACUCCUCUCCACAAUCUGCGCCUUUGCUAGAACAGUUGAAUAUGUCUUGAGCUCUAGCACCAAUAAGUGCCGCUUGAUCUUUGGGUGGAGGCCCCACUAGAACCUCUUGGUCUUUCUG